RNAcentral lists this ribosomal RNA (251 nucleotides) under uncultured prokaryote. Its description in RNAcentral is "partial 16S rRNA". It matches the Rfam family "Bacterial small subunit ribosomal RNA", at positions 525 to 775 of the family's 1533-position model. The record is from RNAcentral.
ACGGAGGGGGCAAGCGUUAUUCGGAAUUACUGGGCGUAAAGGGCGUGCAGGCGGGAGUGCAAGUCUGAUGUGAAAGCCCAGGGCUUAACCCCGGAAAGGCUUUGGAAACUGGUAGUCUUGAGUUCAGGAGAGGAAGGGGGAAUUCCCGGUGUAGAGGUGAAAUGCGUAGAGAUUAGGAGGAACACCAGUGGCGAAGGCGACUUUCUGGACAGUAACUGACGCUGAGACGCGAAAGCGUGGGGAGCAAACAG